Molecule: RNA transcript, 6231 nt
Organism: Ictalurus furcatus (blue catfish)
Lineage: Eukaryota; Metazoa; Chordata; Actinopteri; Siluriformes; Ictaluridae
Exons: 13
Source: RefSeq, a predicted model, not a curated record
UCUGCCUGAUUCAGAUAGAGAAAGAUCAUCACGUUAUAGAAUAAAGUUAAUAAGUGGAACCUGAACAUUAAUAGUAACUUUCACCGUUUGAGCAUGGUCUGGACUUUAAGUUCACUUGGAAAUCCUCUAUAAGUCAUUGGUCACGGUGGGAAAUAAGAUUAACCCAUCAGGAUCACGUUACGAUCUAUAAUUACAUCUUCAUUUACACUCCGACUCCGUGUUGUUCAUGAUCAGGUGAUUUGUAGGAUUUAGAAAUCCGUCUCCACAUUUUGAGUGAGUUUUAUGAACACGGUUACGUCCCUACACGCACCUCAGACAAGAUUUUUCACUUUAUUCGGUUUAUUCUAAUUCUGUAACCUUGACAACACUGUGACGUCAUGGCUCAGCCAGCAAUAAAACGUUCUACUCAGCUGAAGUGGUCUUUGGUUUCUACAGACAGAUCACUGAGAGAUUUGUUUCUGCACGACAGAACGAUUUUCAAAAAUGAGGAGGAAUCACAAAGAGACACCUCUGCAUCAAGCUGCACAUGGAAAAAAUAGCAUGCACUCUAUGGCAAAGCAGAACAUCCGCUUAGUUGCCAUUAACACAACUAGAAAUACAUUAGUCUAUCCCGUAAAGAUAAUAGAAUUUGAACGGGCAGGUGCUGGACCUCCAGCAAAGAGCCCUAGGAAACCAAAACUUCUUCCCAGAACGCCCAGAAAGGAUCCGAUUGGUCUUCCCCCAUUCAGAGCACUGAUGCACAAGGAAAAAGUAAGCAAAACAUCUGGCAAUCCUCAGGUACAUUGGGAAAAAGGCAUGUGCACUAUGACAAAGCAGAACAUCUGCUCACCUAUCAUUAACACAACCAGAAAGAAAUCAAUCUACCCCAUAAAGAUCAUAGAUGUAUUUGAACAAACAGGUGCUGGACCUGCAGCAAAGAGCCCUGGGAAAUCAAAACUUCUUCCAAGAAAGGAUCCAAUUGGGCUUCCCCCAUUCAGAGCACCAGUGCGUGGGGAAAAGUUAAGCAAAACAUCCAGAAAUCCUCAGGCACUUACAGGUCCUACAGAGGUAAAGAGUAAGCCUCUUGAGGCUACAAUUGAGGUAGAUCCUCAAUUAAGAACCAAAAUUACUGAUGCUGUCCUGGAUUGCAUAAUCUCUACAUCAUUCAAGAAUCAGUUCAUUCAGCGCAUUGUGGGUGAGAUUGAUGAUAUACUAGCAAAAGCCGCAUCCCAGGUCCACGAGAAACAGCAUGCCAUGAGUUUCGGUACAGCAGGAGAUAAGACAAACAUCUCCCGGGAACAACAAUCGAGCAACAAUGUUUUCAGGCCUGGCUUCAGUGAUGGUGUGGCAUCUGUGCUUGGUUAUGCACUGAUAGAAGUUAGAGAAGAUGUAAAAAAAACUUUUAGAAGCCAGUCACACAAAUUUCAGACAAUCUCACCCACGGCAUGCGAUUCUGUAACAGGAAUAGUGGACAAUGUCUUUGAAAGCAUGCUUGAUUCCUUGAUUCCUCAACUGAAACCAGAUGUUUGCAUUGAAAGGGAUCCUAGCAUGACUGAUUCUCUUUAUAGUCAUGAGUUUGAUACAGUGUUUGAUAGGAUCCUUCGCAGCACUGACUCAGAUUUCAACCAGAGUCCAGUCCAUGAACCAAGAGGAAGUGAUCAUGAGUCUAGCGUCACAACUCAGGACAUUGAGACAUUAGACAUUGUGAAAGAGAGAGCUGACUCCCCAAGAAGAUCUACCAAAGUCCUGUUCUCCACAGUAUUUGACCAGUCUUCUGGACUGGAAGUUAAGGCCAAAGAUGAGGUUGAAGAUUCUGGAAGCAUGAGCCACCUUGAUGACCCUCAGACUUCAAGAGUCAAAUCUGACUCAGAUUCAGAUACAAGCGUUCUUGAGGUCACUGCUACUUCUGCAACAGAACAUGUUGACCACAUGUCAAGAUCUGAUGAAGUAGCAGAAGAAGGACUUGUGGCUAAAUCAGAUGUUGAGCUUGAGCAAAUCAUGGCUGCUCCUUCUGAGGAAAACACUCCUUCUGACAAAACUUCCCAAAGCCUUGAGCUGAUUGGACACCAGGAAUGUGCUAGCCUUGUCCCUUCACCACCUUCUAGUGUUAAGCCAGCCUCCCCAAGAGGAUCUGCCAGGAGAAGGGUACGUCCUAUAAAAGCCAACUCUUUGCCAAACAUAUUCUCUGAUGAAGAAGAUGGCAUCUUUGACCAGUGUCACCAAAAGGUAGAGAGUGAUGGCAAGCAUAGACUUUCUCUGCCUGGAAUGGAAAUGGGUUCUUCUGGAAGCAGAAGUCGCCUUGAUGAGCCUCAGUUCAUCUGAAUCUUCCGACGUUGAAGAAGCUGCAGCAAAAUCAGCUGGAUACAAAACAGUACAAUGUUGAAAUUAUUUUAAGGUGUAAUUUGCAGUUGUAGUUUUUCAUGAAGAAGUCAGCCAGCAACAGUCAGGAGGAGACUGUGGAUAGUGGAGGUGGGAUAUGAACAGGCUGGAAACCCCCACAGAUGCCUUGUCCUUCAGCAGAGGGAAGGUUUGAAAUUAUGACCCUGUGCCAUGCAUGGGGUUUAUUCAUGUAAAAACUCAGGUUGCUGGUUCUGCCAUCCUUAUGGAGGAUGCUAAAAACAUGAGGGGUUGUUGUGUCAGACCACUGCAGCGCAUUGCUAGGCUCAAGAACAAUUUAUUCAAACAAUUUACAAACAAUUCAUUCAAUCAUCUACAUAUUUGUCCUGGUCAGAGUCACGGUAGUCUCACAAGUCAGACUUUUAGCUAAACCAUUAAGUGGCAUGUUUUCAAGAGGUGGGAGAAAACUGGAGAACCUGUAGGAAACCCACAGAGGCCCAAGAGGAACCGUGAAACUGCAAAAGUGACCACAAUCCAGCAUUGAACCUACAACCCUUGGAACAUGAUGUAAUAACUGUGGCGACAGGCCGGUGGCCGGCACACAGGAAACAAAGAUCACUCCUCCCACGACUGCUGCGGUGGCGCUGAAGAGACAGCGCCGCUUCAGCACCACCAAGGUUUUGGACUGCCAGAGAGCACUUGGCGGCAGGGCGGGGCUGCCAACACACCCAUGGCUCGUGAAUGGUGCACCGCACAGAAAUAAUUCCACCAUCCAGCGGGCAAGGGGAGGAUAUAAAAGGGCGGUAUUCCACUCACAACGAGAGAAGAGGAUCUCCGAGCAUACGAAGUUGACGCGAGUGAAGGCUCCGCCCCCCGGUUGUAACAGAAGACAGCUGAGACCCUCACCGCCAGAUCGCACUUCAACACACACACACACCCACACUCCCCUCACUGUUCGUCUCAAAUAAAGAUCCCUCCACGAAUAACCCUAAAACGGCCUCCUGUGUGUCUGUGCUCAUCCCACCGUGGGCUCAAUUCCACCACAUCGACCCGACUGCCAGCAUGCUGCCGACACUCCAGACCCGCCGAAACCAGUCCAGCGAAGGGAGGAGGCCCCAGCCCGGCCGGCCUACAUGGCCCGGGGCAAGAAGAACGCCCCGGCCGAAGGUAAGUCACACACACCCCCUAACCCACUCUCCUCUGUAUUUCAACAGGUGAGCCAGCAGGGGAACUUCGGCUGGGAGCAGAAGGAGGACGACCGCCUGAAGCAUUGCUGGGCCCAGGUGCGGCAGAUUGACGGGGUCGACCAAAGCCCAGAACACAGGCUACAUACCUCCUACUUUCUAGCCCGGGGAGGCCUGCUAUACCACUGAAUCCAGUGCAGACGGGAAAACGUGGACCUCCUAGUAGUCCCCAGGACCCGAACCCAAACACUGUUACACCUGGCCCAUACCCAUCCGCUCGGGGGCCACCUGGGGGCCCGAAACACCGGAGAAAAACUGAAGGACUGCUUCACCUGGCCGGGGAUGGACGCAGAGGUCCGGGCCUUUUGUCAGCAUUGCCUUCAGUGUCAGCACACCGCCCCAGGAAGCCCCCGCCGGCGCCCCUGAUCCCUCUGCCCAUCAUCAGUGUCCCCUUCGAAAGGAUCAGCAUGGACCUCAUAGGGCUGCUCCCCAAGUCCGCCCAGGGUUACAAGUAUAUACUCGUCAUCGUGGACUACGCGACCCGGUACCCCGAGGCAGUACCACUAGGCAAAGCCACCUCCCGCAACAUCGUCAGAGAACUGGUACUCCUGUUCAGUUGUGUGGGGAUCCCAAAGGACAUUCUGACUGACCAAGGUACGCCUUUUGUGUCCAAGUUAAUGUCUGAUCUGUGUCGGCUGUUACAGGUGAAACAUCUCAAACGUCUGUCUACCACCCGCAAACUGAUGGACUGGUCGAGAGAUUCAACCAGACGCUAAAACAGAUGUUACGCCAGGUGGUAGAUGAGGAAGGAAGGAACUGAGACCUCCUCCUUCCCUAUGUGCUCUUCGCCGUCCAAGAGUGCCCCCAGUCAUCCACGGGUUUCACACCAUUCGAGCUCCUCUUCGGACAGCGACCUCGAGGACUGCUGGACGUGGCUCACGAAGUGUGGGAGGAACAACCGUCCCCAUUCCGCUCGGUCAUUGACUACGUGCAGGAGAUGCAAGAGAAGAUUGACCGGGUAACCCCGAUAGUUCGGGAGCACAUGCGAGCCGCCCAGGAGGCACAGAAAAGGGUGUACAACCAUCCCACGCAGCCUCAGGAGUUCUAACCGGGCGAUCGGGUGCUCCUACUAGUACCCAGUAGCUCCUGCAAGUUCCUGGCCCAGUGGCAAGGCCCGUACACAGUCCUCAAGCGAAAAGGCCCCGUAAACUACCGCCUGCGGCAGCCCGGUAAGCAAGCAGAGGAAAAACUCUACCACUUGAAUCUGCUGAAGAAGCGGGUAGAACAGCGGCGCCAGUAGUAUCAGCGUACGCGGCUCUGGACACAGAUCAUGGCAAGGGUACCUUGGUAGAAUUGGGGGAAGAUCUUACCCCCACACAGAGACAGGAGCUAACAGAGUUGGUGGACCAAUUUUCUGAUGUGUUCUCUACCUCCCCAGAAAUGACGCAGCUGGUCCACCACGAGAUCAAGACCCGUCCAGGAGUAGUGGUGAGACAGCGGCCCUACCGUGUCCCAGAGGCCUGGCACAAGGCUAUCGAGGAAGAAGUUGGCCGAAUGCUGCGGGACCACAUCAUAGAGGAGUCCAACAGCCCCUGGUCCAGCCCCAUCGUCGUCGUGCCAAAGCUGGAUGGAAGUAUGCGACUUUGUAACGACUUCCGGACGCUGAACCAGGUCUCUGAGUUCGAUAGCUAUCCCCUCCCCCAAGUGGACGACCUCGUGGAGCGACUGGGGAGAGCCCGGUUCAUAAGUACCCUGGACCUAACGAAAGGCUACUGGCAAGUCGGACGCGAGAUCGAAGACGGCCUUCAGCACAGCCACCGGUCACUGGCAGUACCGGGUUCUCCCCUUCAGGCUACAUGGGGCGCCCACUACGUUCCAGCAGCUGAUGGACAUUGUCCUGCGACCCCACCGUAUGUUCACGGCCGCCUACCUAGAUGACGUAGUCAUCCACUCCUCCACUUGGUUGGACCACUUUUUCCACCUGGGGGAGGUUCUGAAGGAGCUCCGGAAGGCCGGGCUGACAGCCAACCCCAAGAAAUGCCACCUAGGGCUGACCAACGCACAGUACCUGGGCUACCGUAUUGGCCGGGGUAUGCUGAAGCCACAAACGAAGAAAGUCGAGGCAGUGAAGGACUACCCCCGACCCACAUCCUCUCAUUGCAGGAUUUCUCUUUCCAGGUCCAGCACCGGGUGGGGACCCACCAUGGGAAUGUAGAUGGCCUCUCACAACAGGAUACACUGUGGGCCCGACACACAACGGCAGUGGGCUCGGAGCUGAGGGGGGGGUACUGUGGCGACAGGCCAGUGGCUGGCACACAGGAAACAAAGAUCGCUCCUCCCGCGACUGGUGAAUGGUGCACCGCACGGAGAGAAUUCCACCAUCCAGCGGGCGAGGGGAGGAUAUAAAAGGGUGGUAUUCCACUCACAACGAGAGAAGAGGAUCUCCGAGCAUAUGAAGUCGACGCGAGUGAAGGCUCCGCCCCCCGGUUGUAACCAAAGACAGCUGAGACCCUCACCACCAGGUCGCACUUCAACACACACACACGCGCACGCGCACCCGCACUCCCCUCACUGUUCGUCUCAAAUAAAGAUCCCUCCACGAAUAACCCUAAAACGGCCUCCUGUGUGUCUGUGCUCAUCCCACCGUGGGCUCAAUUCCACCACAUCGACCAGAUGGACUCGAGACGAGUGAAGGCUCACACACACACACGCACUUCCCUCAUUGUUUGUC